UACAGAGGUCUCAAGCGUUGUUCGGAUUCAUUGGGCGUAAAGGGUGCGUAGGCGGUAGUGCAAGUCAGGUGUGAAAUCCCGGAGCUCAACUCCGGAACUGCACUUGAUACUGCUUUACUAGAGUACUGGAGAGGAGACUGGAAUUUACGGUGUAGCGGUGAAAUGCGUAGAUAUCGUAAGGAAGACCAGUGGCGAAGGCGGGUCUCUGGACAGUUCCUGACGCUGAGGCACGAAGGCCAGGGGAGCAAACGGG
RNAcentral lists this ribosomal RNA (253 nucleotides) under uncultured bacterium. RNAcentral's name for it is "partial 16S ribosomal RNA". It matches the Rfam family "Bacterial small subunit ribosomal RNA", at positions 524 to 776 of the family's 1533-position model. The record is from RNAcentral.